Molecule: ribosomal RNA, 655 nt
Filed under: Micrococcus luteus NCTC 2665
Lineage: Bacteria; Bacillati; Actinomycetota; Actinomycetes; Micrococcales; Micrococcaceae
Description: partial 23S ribosomal RNA
Rfam family: Bacterial large subunit ribosomal RNA
Source: RNAcentral
CGGUUGCCUCCUAAAAUGUAACGGAGGCGCCCAAAGGUUCCCUCAGCCUGGUUGGUAAUCAGGUGUCGAGUGCAAGUGCACAAGGGAGCUUGACUGUGAGAGUGGCAGCUCGAGCAGGGACGAAAGUCGGGACUAGUGAUCCGGCGGCUCGUUGUGGAACGGCCGUCGCUCAACGGAUAAAAGGUACCUCGGGGAUAACAGGCUGAUCUUGCCCAAGAGUCCAUAUCGACGGCAUGGUUUGGCACCUCGAUGUCGGCUCGUCGCAUCCUGGGGCUGGAGUAGGUCCCAAGGGUUGGGCUGUUCGCCCAUUAAAGCGGUACGCGAGCUGGGUUCAGAACGUCGUGAGACAGUUCGGUCCCUAUCCUCUGCGCGCGUUGGAAAUUUGAGAAGGUCUGUCCUUAGUACGAGAGGACCGGGACGGACGAACCUCUGGUAUGUCAGUUGUACCGCCAGGUGCAUGGCUGAUUAGCUACGUUCGGGAUGGAUAACCGCUGAAAGCAUCUAAGCGGGAAGCCGGCUUCGAGAUGAGAUUUCCUUGCCCCUUUGAGGGUGUGAGGCCCCCAGCUAGAACACUGGGUUGAUAGGCUGGAUGUGGAAGCGAGGACUGAAGACUCGUGAAGCUGACCAGUACUAAUAGGCCGAUGACUUACACACA